Long non-coding RNA from Catharus ustulatus (Swainson's thrush), 396 nucleotides. RefSeq lists it as uncharacterized. The record is from RefSeq and is a predicted model, not a curated record. The transcript has 2 exons. NCBI's taxonomy places the organism in Eukaryota, Metazoa, Chordata, Aves, Passeriformes, Turdidae.
GCCCGGACUGGAACAGCCCUGCCAAGGCAAAACACAGCACCACACACCUCAUUUUCCCUGUGGGGAGCUGCAGAGGGCUGCAGAAUGGGUUUGUUCUGCCUCUGGGCUGGAGGGAAACUUUGUUGCCCUGGAAACAUGAAGACGACAGAUCCAUCGUUCAUUGGCAAGAGGAUGGGAGAAGUGCAUGACAAAGAAGUGUGAGAGGAAAGACCAAGGGAGUAAAAAGACCUUUCAGAGGUGUCACCUUGACCUGCUGCUGGGAGCAGGGGAGUGCUGAAGCCACCACCAGUGCUCAGGAUUGCCCAGCACCUGCUUGGCUCUCCCAGAGCAGCUGACUCACUGGAGUAAUUUUGCUCAACUUUGACAAUAAAGCAAUGGAUGAUGGAUUAAUGUUAA